This 548-nucleotide ribosomal RNA is filed under the name uncultured fungus. RNAcentral describes it as "eukaryotic LSU rRNA". It matches the Rfam family "Eukaryotic large subunit ribosomal RNA", at positions 24 to 664 of the family's 3401-position model. Lineage: Eukaryota; Fungi. The record is from RNAcentral.
CCCGCUGAACUUAAGCAUAUCAAUAAGCGGAGGAAAAGAAACUAACAAGGAUUCCCCUAGUAACUGCGGGUGAAGCGGGAAGAGCUCAAAUUUUGAAUCUGGCGGUGUUUGGCCGUCCGAGUUGUAAUCUAGAGAAGCGUCUUCCGCGCUGGACCGUGUACAAGUCUCCUGGAAGGGAGCGUCAUAGAGGGUGAGAAUCCCGUCUUUGACACGGACUACCAGUGCUAUGUGAUGCGCUCUCGACGAGUCGAGUUGUUUGGGAAUGCAGCUCAAAAUGGGUGGUAAAUUCCAUCUAAAGCUAAAUACAGGCGAGAGACCGAUAGCGAACAAGUACCGUGAGGGAAAGAUGAAAAGCACUCUGGAAAGAGAGUCAAAAGCACGUGAAAUUGCUGCAGGGGAAGCGAUUGGAACAGCACUCUGUGCAGUCAGUCACAAACCAAUACUUUGUGUCGCUGUACAGACCCGCACGGCCCUUGGACAAACCCUCACACGGUUUGCCCGGGGACCCCUGCGCGGCGCUGGCCCAAACGACCCGUCUUGAAACACGG